Molecule: ribosomal RNA, 468 nt
Filed under: uncultured bacterium
Lineage: Bacteria
Description: partial 16S ribosomal RNA
Rfam family: Bacterial small subunit ribosomal RNA
Source: RNAcentral
GACGAACGCUGGCGGCGUGCUUAACACAUGCAAGUCGAACGGAAAGGCCCUGCUUUUGUGGGGUGCUCGAGUGGCGAACGGGUGAGUAACACGUGGGUAACCUGCCCUUGACUUUGGGAUAACUUCAGGAAACUGGGGCUAAUACCGGAUAGGAGCUCCUGCUGCAUGGUGGGGGUUGGAAAGUUUCGGCGGUUGGGGAUGGACUCGCGGCUUAUCAGCUUGUUGGUGGGGUAGUGGCUUACCAAGGCUUUGACGGGUAGCCGGCCUGAGAGGGUGACCGGCCACAUUGGGACUGAGAUACGGCCCAGACUCCUACGGGAGGCAGCAGUGGGGAAUAUUGCACAAUGGGCGGAAGCCGGAUGCAGCAACGCCGCGUGCGGGAUGACGGCCUUCGGGUUGUAAACCGCUUUCGCCUGUGACGAAGCGUGAGUGACGGUAAUGGGUAAAGAAGCACCGGCUAACUACGUG